CUGGAGACCAUUAUUCUAAGUCAAGUGACACAGGAGUGUAAGAAGACUUUCACCAGGUGCUGGUGCCAUGUUCUUGGACUUCUCAGUCUCCCAAACCAUAAGCCAAGAGUGAAAUACAUCACCGCUUUCCCUGCUCCCGCCGCCAUUAAAAUUGUGUUUGGCAUCUGACCACCAAGAUACAGAUAUUUCCUAGACUGUUUUGCAGCUAGGUACUUAGAAGUUUUUCUAAGUUAUUUAAACUUCUCACCACACAAAAUCUGGAUUUGUAUCUGUCACGUAGUAAUUGCUUGAUAAAUCAUUUCUCUUUCCUCUGGAGAAAAAUAUCUGCUUUCUUUAAAAUAAAUGUUCCAUCCAUGCAGCUAAGCAGCUAAGGACACGAACAGCCACUGAUACAGGCCAACUCAUCAGUAGAUUAUUGAGGAAUCAUUCUCUUCAGUCAGAUCACGAUUUGAGUUUGAACUAACCAGAGAGUAGCAGAAGGAACGUUUUCUCAUUUCCAUGUCCAGAAAGAUAUAUUCCUGCUACCCUCCUGAAGUCAGAGGAUGAAAUCAUAGUCAAUACAUCUUUGCAGAUAAACUAUUAGAUUUCAUACUAGGACCUUUCAUUGGCUGAACAAAGACAAAGACAGAAAUCAAGGAAGGUCAAAGAAGCAGUCAGUUUUCUGGCACCCAAAGUUGUUGGAGAAGGGUACAGAGUCGGUAAAUAAGUCAUAUGACAGACAGGCAGUAUUUUCUUAUUUUAAUAACAAGUUUAAAAAUCCCACUUCUUGUACUUACCUUCUGUCUGACGUCAUCAGUAUUUUAAAAUGCCAACUGGGAUCAAGUUCAACACUGCAUUACUGAAGAAUCCAGAUUAUCUACAUUUCAAGUGCCAAAUGAAAGAAAGAACCCAGAAAAUAAAACAAUAUGAUGAUAACAGUAAAAUUUUUUAAAAUGAAA
RNAcentral lists this long non-coding RNA (938 nucleotides) under Homo sapiens (human). RNAcentral describes it as "HSALNT0293118". Lineage: Eukaryota; Metazoa; Chordata; Mammalia; Primates; Hominidae. The record is from RNAcentral.